Lolium perenne is the source of this 2330-nucleotide long non-coding RNA. RefSeq lists it as uncharacterized. NCBI's taxonomy places the organism in Eukaryota, Viridiplantae, Streptophyta, Magnoliopsida, Poales, Poaceae. The record is from RefSeq and is a predicted model, not a curated record.
CUUCAUUUUGUAGAGGGUUCUUCUGCCGUCCCGCAUGCGCCCAAUGUUGUCGAGAAGAACGGGGACCCGUCCUCCUCCGCAUCCACUCCACCCCUCUCCAGCCGACGGCGAUAUCCGGAGGGAAGGGCCCUGAAUGCCGGAGCGUGGAAUCGGGCUGUGGGGCCGCGUGCGAGGAAGGCCACCGCCAGCCGAGACCUCCCGCUCUCGUGCAGUCUCCAAUGAGGUAUCGCUCCACCGACGAGCUCGCGGUGGUCCGGAUCUCCCGAGUCUCUGCGCCGAGCGAAGAGGCAGUCCGUCCUCGAUAAAAGAAAUUCCUGAGCAAGCCCCACGCCCGCGGUGCAUCACACAAAGAAUCCCAUGGCCUUUUCUCUUCCGGCGCCAAAUACCCCAAUCCCCAGCCGCGACGGCGAAUCCUUGCUCGACGCGGCGAUGCAGGUACGGCCUCCCUCCCUCCGUUCGUCCUCCUCCUCCGAACAACCGGUGACCAUCCCAUAUCUCCCUCGCGCCCCAUCCCCACCUCACCAGUCUCGCCCCAUCUCAUCUCUGAUCCGGAGGAAAUUGGCCGGAGUUAUUGGGUGGAGAAGCAAGACCACGUCGGACCGAGGGAGACUGUAGGCAUAGUACUACAUGAGGAUGAACAUACGAGGCUGUCGCGGAUCCGACGAGUUAAAUGUCGUAUGUCAUACAGUUAACCCAGCCUAAUGUUGUAUGUACAUAGACUUAGAGGAGAAAUCUGGUCAGGAAACAUGUAUGGGCCGUGGUAGGAUUUUUUAUUUGAGCUGAAAGGGUCACUUGCUACAUUAGCUUUUACUCAACACUAUUGGCGCAUCUUGCUUCAUUUGAGAAUAUGUAGUGGGUUUAAUAAAUUUGCCAGUGAUUUGGUGAUUUACUUACUGAGGUAUUUUUUGAAUCCUACGCUGACUUUCCUACUAGCUAAUAGUAGAUGGUGUAUGUGUAGAUACAUAAUAUACUUAGCACAUAUAUUUUUAUCAUACAUAUUGUCACCAUACUAUUGUUUCUGCCAUACUAACAAUUUAGUCUGUCCACCGCCACUGAAUUAAACCUUUCUUCUGGAGUUCAUAGUUUUUUAAAUCUUGGUUAAAUAAGCUUACAAGUUGAGAUUCACCAAUCGGUUCCCUCCUUUUGUGUGCAUAGUCUGGCAAGAUAAGCAAAUCCAUAGAUUCCCAGAAACCCUCAACUUAUAUUCUUACAUGAGCACAAGUGAGCACAAUUCUCCUAUUUACAGCCUAUAUGGAGUGGUUGUCCAUCAUGAUGUUAUUGAUGCUGCCUUUUCUGGGCAUUAUGUUUGUUAUGUCAAGGACACACAUGGGAAGUAGUACAAACCUAUCUCACUAAUGACAUGGUGAACUUUUAUUGCAGGGACAAAGUGUCGACCGUCUCUAAUGCGUGUUGCUUUUGUUAAUUAGUGCAGACGUGCCAGUGUCAUGGUGAGAAGCCAGAAUCAACCCGACCUUAUCUGGAAAUUUCUUGUAUUUCUUGAAGCCAAAAGUCGCAAAGGAGCCUUUUCCGAAAUAGCUGGAGCAAAUUCCAUUAUUCUGCUGACAAGGUAGAUGAUGGAGAAGAGAGGCUACAACAAGGUGCUCAUGUUUGUCACAAGGAUCAAAGUGUCGCUAAAUCAAGGAUGGUGACCUGCUGCUGCUCUCUCCGGAUGGCAGCAGUGAUACCUGGGACGGGCUGCUGCUGAGUGACCUGCUGCUGCUCUGCGGGAGGAGACAGCGCUGGAGAGGGCCCUCCACGACGGCAACCAGGGCGAUGCCUCCUCCCUCCGAUCCCAGGAAAUUGAACAAGGGAUACCCUGAUCUCGUCCAUGGAGCUCUCUCUGCAGGGUCGGCCUCCCCGAUAUGCUGAUGCCGGCGUCUUCCGGGAGAAGGAUGAUCGAGGAGCUGGCGCGGUUCCUCGGAAACAACCAUGGCUUGGAUGGGCUCCUGCUGAUUUGCGAUAAGAAGCAUCCACAUGCAAUCAGGUCUAUGUCUUGCUGAUUCAUCUUGUGCUUAAUUUUUUUCAACAGGCUCAACUGUAGGCAUAUGCAUCUACAUGUCCACAUCAAGCGCAAUAGAGAUUCAUCAACACUUGUGCACUGCACUGUGGUAGUGUGGUGUAUUGCUUAAUAGUUCUAUUAACUGCUAUGGAAAGGGAAAUUUGACUCUAUAGGCAGCAACGUGCAAUGACACUAAAACAUUGUAGAUAAGUCGAGCAAAAUUUGCUUGCUUGCUUGCUUAUGCAAUGUAAUUGUUCUAGAUACUAUCAAAAUCUGAGUUGAUUUUGAAAAAGCAACUUUCAUGAUCUUGAAGAAGCAACUUUCAUAUUCA